This 468-nucleotide ribosomal RNA is filed under the name uncultured bacterium. RNAcentral describes it as "partial 16S ribosomal RNA". It matches the Rfam family "Bacterial small subunit ribosomal RNA", at positions 28 to 507 of the family's 1533-position model. The record is from RNAcentral.
GACGAACGCUGGCGGCGUGCUUAACACAUGCAAGUCGAACGGAAAGGCCCUGCUUUUGUGGGGUGCUCGAGUGGCGAACGGGUGAGUAACACGUGAGUAACCUGCUCUUGACUUUGGGAUAACUUCAGGAAACUGGGGCUAAUACCGGAUAGGAGCUCCUGCUGCAUGGUGGGGGUUGGAAAGUUUCGGCGGUUGGGGAUGGACUCGCGGCUUAUCAGCUUGUUGGUGGGGUAGUGGCUUACCAAGGCUUUGACGGGUAGCCGGCCUGAGAGGGUGACCGGCCACAUUGGGACUGAGAUACGGCCCAGACUCCUACGGGAGGCAGCAGUGGGGAAUAUUGCACAAUGAGCGGAAGCCGGAUGCAGCAACGCCGCGUGCGGGAUGACGGCCUUCGGGUUGUAAACCGCUUUCGCCUGUGACGAAGCGUGAGUGACGGUAAUGGACAAAGAAGCACCGGCUAACUACGUG